GACGAACGCUGGCGGCGUGCUUAACACAUGCAAGUCGAACGGAAAGGCCCUGCUUUUGUGGGGUGCUCGAGUGGCGAACGGGUGAGUAACACGUGAGUAACCUGCCCUUGACUUUGGGAUAACUUCAGGAAACGGGGGCUAAUAUCGGAUAGGAGCUCCUGUUGCGGGGAGGGCGGUGGAAAGUCUCGGCGGGUGGGGAUGGACGAGCGGCUAAUGAGCUUGUUGGUGGGGGAGUGGCUUACCAAGGCUGUGACGGGUAGCCGGCAGGGGAGGGUGACCGGCCACAUGGGGACUACGAUACGGCGCAGACUCGAACGGGGGGCAGCAGUGGGGAAUCUUGCACAAUGGGCGGACGCCUGAUGCAGAGACGCCGCGUGCGGGAUGACGGCCUUCGGGGUGUAAACCGCUUUAGCCUGUGACGAAGCGUGAGUGACGGUAAUGGGUAAAGAAGCACCGGCUAACUACGUG
This 468-nucleotide ribosomal RNA is filed under the name uncultured bacterium. Its description in RNAcentral is "partial 16S ribosomal RNA". It matches the Rfam family "Bacterial small subunit ribosomal RNA", at positions 28 to 507 of the family's 1533-position model. The record is from RNAcentral.